UUCACUAGUGAUUCGCGGCCUAUCAGCUUGUUGGCGGGGUAACGGCCCACCAAGGCGGUGACGGGUAGCUGGUCUGAGAGGAUGGCCAGCCACAUUGGGACUGAGAGACGGCCCAGGCUCCUACGGGAGGCAGCAGUGGGGAAUCUUGCGCAAUGGUCGAGAGACUGACGCAGCGACGCCGCGUGUGGGAGGACGCCUUUCGGGGUGUAAACCACUGUUGCCCGGGACGAACUCGCUCUUUCGAGGGCGUUGACGGUACCGGGUGAGGAAGCACCGGCUAACUCCGUGCCAGCAGCCGCGGUGACACGUAGGCACCAAGCGUUGUCCGGAUUUAUUGGGCGUAAAGAGCUCGUAGGCGGUUCGGUAAGUCGGGUGUGAAAACUCUGGGCUCAACCCAGAGAUGCCACCCGAUACUGCUGUGACUCGAGUGCGGUAGGGGAGCGGGGAAUUCCUGGAGUAGCGGUGAAAUGCGCAGAUAUCAGGAGGAACACCAGUGGCGAAGGCGCCGCUCUGGGCCGUAACUGACGCUGAGGAGCGAAAGCGUGGGGAGCAAACAGGAUUAGAUACCCUGGUAGUCCACGCCGUAAACGUUGGGCACUAGGUGUGGGUCUCAACCAACGAGAUCCACGCCGUCGCUAACGCAUUAAGUGCCCCGCCUGGGGAGUACGG
This 669-nucleotide ribosomal RNA is filed under the name uncultured Actinoplanes sp. RNAcentral's name for it is "bacterial SSU rRNA". It matches the Rfam family "Bacterial small subunit ribosomal RNA", at positions 219 to 885 of the family's 1533-position model. Lineage: Bacteria; Bacillati; Actinomycetota; Actinomycetes; Micromonosporales; Micromonosporaceae. The record is from RNAcentral.